UGGGGAAUAUUGGACAAUGGGCGCAAGCCUGAUCCAGCCAUGCCGCGUGAGUGACGAAGGUCUUCGGAUUGUAAAGCUCUUUUGGCGGGGACGAUAAUGACGGUACCCGCAGAAUAAGCCCCGGCUAACUUCGUGCCAGCAGCCGCGGUAAUACGAAGGGGGCUAGCGUUGUUCGGAAUUACUGGGCGUAAAGCGCACGUAGGCGGACUGAUAAGUCAGGGGUGAAAUCCCGGGGCUCAACCUCGGAACUGCCUUUGAUACUGUUAGUCUCGAGUCCGGAAGAGGUGAGUGGAAUUCCUAGUGUAGAGGUGAAAUUCGUAGAUAUUAGGAAGAACACCAGUGGCGAAGGCGGCUCACUGGUCCGGUACUGACGCUGAGGUGCGAAAGCGUGGGGAGCAAACAGGAUUAGAUACCCGUGUAGUCCCUGAGCGGGCUGGCAAGGCGCAU
RNAcentral lists this ribosomal RNA (447 nucleotides) under uncultured bacterium. RNAcentral describes it as "bacterial SSU rRNA". It matches the Rfam family "Bacterial small subunit ribosomal RNA", at positions 355 to 825 of the family's 1533-position model. The record is from RNAcentral.